This 435-nucleotide unclassified non-coding RNA is filed under the name soil metagenome. RNAcentral's name for it is "partial contains 5.8S ribosomal RNA, internal transcribed spacer 2, and large subunit ribosomal RNA". The stretch from base 3 to 121 matches the Rfam family "5.8S ribosomal RNA", at positions 36 to 154 of the family's 154-position model. The record is from RNAcentral.
GAAUGAAGAACGCAGCGAAAUGCGAUACGUAAUGUGAAUUGCAGAAUUCAGUGAAUCAUCGAAUCUUUGAACGCAUAUUGCGCUCUUUGGUAUUCCGAAGAGCAUGCUUGUUUGAGUAUCAGUAAACACCUCAAAGCUUUUGGAUUUUUUAAUCGAAAAGCUUUGGACUUGAGCAAUCCCAACACCAAUCUUUUUGAGAUCGGUGGCGGGUUGCUUGAAAUGCAGGUGCAGCUGGACAUUCUCCUGAGCUAAAAGCAUAUUCAUUUAGUCCCGUCAAACGGAUUAUUACUUUUGCUGCAGCUAACAUAAAGGGAGUUUGACCGUAUUGGCUGACUGAUGCAGGAUUUCACAAGGGUCGGCAACGAUUCUUGUUAAACUCGAUCUCAAAUCAAGUAAGACUACCCGCUGAACUUAAGCAUAUCAAUAAGCGGAGGA